UUAUGUGAUCGUCUCUCGCAUAUCAAUAAGCGGAGGAAAAGAAACUAACAAGGAUUCCCCUAGUAACGGCGAGUGAAGCGGGAAGAGCUCAAAUUUGAAAUCUUAAAGGGUUUCCCUUUACGAAUUGUAGUUUAAAGAAGUGUUUUCUGUUGAGGUUUUGGUAAAAGUUCUUUGGAAUAGGACAUCAUAGAGGGUGAGAAUCCCGUAUUUGACCUUUACUUUCAACUUUGUGAUACACUUUCAAAGAGUCGGAUUGUUUGGGAAUGCAGUCCAAAAUGGGUGGUAAAUUUCAUCUAAAGCUAAAUAUUGGCGAGAGACCGAUAGCGAACAAGUACCGUGAGGGAAAGAUGAAAAGAACUUUGAAAAGAGAGUUAAACAGUACGUGAAAUUGUCAAAAGGGAAGCGUUUGACACCAGUGUUGUUUUUCUGAAAAUCAAUUAAAGAACUGUUUAUGCUAAGCUGUUUAGACUUUAUCAGCUAACUGUUUAGUUUUGAGCUUUUCUUUAAUGCACUUUUCAGUUAACAAGUCAACAUCAAUUUCUUUUGCUGUAAAAAAGCUUGAGGAAGGUGGCUUGAGAUUCGUCUUAAGUGUUUAUAGCCUCUUGCCUAUGCAGUCGGAGAGAUUGAGGUCUGCAGCGUAGAUCCUUCGGGGCUAAAUGCAUUUGUGCUAAGUUAUAGCAUUUUAUAGACAACUUGUUGACUAUGAUUUGUCUUGUAGCUUACUCGCUUAUGUUAUUUUACCUACGCUUAGGAUGUUGAGUAGCGACAUACGCAC
Molecule: ribosomal RNA, 775 nt
Filed under: uncultured Neocallimastigales
Lineage: Eukaryota; Fungi; Neocallimastigomycota; Neocallimastigomycetes; Neocallimastigales
Description: partial large subunit ribosomal RNA
Rfam family: Eukaryotic large subunit ribosomal RNA
Source: RNAcentral